This 474-nucleotide ribosomal RNA is filed under the name uncultured bacterium. RNAcentral's name for it is "bacterial SSU rRNA". It matches the Rfam family "Bacterial small subunit ribosomal RNA", at positions 28 to 526 of the family's 1533-position model. The record is from RNAcentral.
AAUGAACGUUGGCGGCGUGGAUUAGGCAUGCAAGUCGGACGGGCCGCAAGGCCAGUGGCGCAAGGGUGAGUAAGGCGACGGUAACCAACCCCGCGGGUGGGCAUAGCCGGGGGAAACCCCGGGUAAUUCCCAGCGACGUACGAGGCCGGCAUCGGCCUGGUACCAAAGAUUCAUCGCCGCGGGACGGGCCGUUGUGGUAUUAGGUUGUUGGCGGGGUGACGGCCCACCAAGCCUGCGAUGCCUACCGGGCGUGCGAGCGUGGCCCGGCACACUGGGACUGAGACACUGCCCAGACUCCUACGGGAGGCUGCAGUCGAGAAUCUUCGGCAAUGGGCGCAAGCCUGACCGAGCGACGCCGCGUGGAGGACGAAGGCCUUCGGGUUGUAAACUCCUGUCGAGGGGGAGGAAGGCGCAAGCUUGACCGAUCCCUGGAGGAAGCACGGGCUAAGUUCGUGCCAGCCGCCGCAGUAAUAC